UCAGAAAGAACCUGACAGAGGAGAGACUGUCCCCCUGCACUUACUAAGUCGUUUCUUUUCCCAAUUUUCUUCACCAGUGCAAACAAGAGCCAUCCAGUGUGGCCGCGGGGAGUUGAUAAAUUCCACUCCAAAGCAAAGAAGCCUAAGAAGGAGAGAGCAUGAUUUCCCUUUCGGCUUAGAACAACAAAACUAAACAAAGCGUAGUGAAAAUGUGAAAAUCGCUUUGAGGAUUCAUCACGUUUGUGCAUGACGGGAAAUGUGGGAUUUCAGACUGGGAGACAAUGAGACCAGUACUGGGAAACCUCUGUGUAUUUCAGAAAGUCCCUUUUUGGACAAAGCCAAGCCCAGACAGGCAGCUGUCUGUGAAAAGGGAAGUUGGGCGAGAUAUCCUUCUGUUUGCAAUCAGCAUGUCCACAAAAGGCUCUGAAACCCCUUUGGGAUCUGAAGUGCAGGGCUGAUCUGAUUGGAAAACCAGCACAUUCCACAGCCUGCUCUGUGUUCACAGUGACUACAAAACAAAGAAAAUGAGAGUCGUGGAGAGAGCUGAAGAAAGAAAGGAUGAAGGGGUGAAGAAACUUGUCUGCAAUGACUCGGCAAAGCUGUGAAUGAGAUCCAGGUACACAGGACACCUUACCUGUUUGUGCUUCAUUUUCCUCUUUUCUUCCUCCUCCUUUCCAUUAUGGAUAGAAAAUUCUGGUCCCAUGCUGAUGUGGUGAGUGAUAUCAAAGUCCCAAGUGUUGUGGCAGAGAGAAACAGGGACGUGGAAGCGCGGAGAAGGUCACUGAUACUGAGCUGUCAGGGUGAGCCCAGCUGAGUGUAGUCCCUCAAAAGGUGGGGGGGGCAGGGCACAGUGAGCUUCAGGUGACACAGUCCAGAAGCAGGUGAGCCGAGCCGGCUGGGCGCACUGGCAGCUCAGUGGUCGGCAUGCCUGGAGUGCAGAACGUGAUUGAAGGACUGCCAGAGAUCCAUCAGGAGAGAAUGGCCCAGACAGGGGUCUGGUAUGCCAAGCUAUGGAAUCUGGACUUCAUCCAUCACAGCCCAGCCUCACACCGUCUGUUUCUCUAUAGACUGACAGAGGGAAGGCGUUCCCAUAAGGCAACUCAUUCUCCCAGGUGUACAGAGAAUUCAGCUUACUGCCCUGCACGCUUGUAACUCUAUUCUCUGUUUUCCCCCAUGUAAGAAGUGAAACAAUCGAGCAUCAUGGCAGUUAAUGAGAGGAAUAACCCUAUCUCCAGUCUCGCUUUUCUUUUAAGAAGAAAUUACAGCUGAUCAUAUUUUAUUAUUAAUAAUUGUGACUUGUACAUAACGCAUGUCACACCUGAGUCUGGGUGGAGCUGCCCCAAACAAGACACUUCCUGGGGCAUUACGGCACCUGCCUGGCUUCCCUGUGGAGCCUUGUAGAGUUAACUCCUAGCAGGCUAAAAUCUCCCAGUCCUGCCUCUGAAUGCUCCUGCGGGAGAAAAUCCCCAACAGCUGCCAUAUGGGGAACUCUUCACACACCUCCCGCCACUGAAAUCUCUCUCCUGCUUCAGCUGGCGGGAAACCAAAGGCAGCGCUGUUCAGAGUACAAUCAGUGCAGUCACUUGUUAGAGAAGCAAAAGGGAGGAGGCAUCCAGAGGCCACGGGGAAUAAACACCAUCCAGGACAGCAGCAGAGGUUUCCAAAAGCACAUGCAGUGGCCACCUCGUGAAGUGCUUUUAUUUUUAAAAGAGAGAAGAAAAUAGCUAAAAGCAGAGAUUCCAAAACAAUAGGUAUUACAGAAGAGGAUGAUUCGUGUGGUAACUAUAAGGCUUCUGUCCACAACUACGGGAUCUGCCAGGACCAUGUGGCCCAGGUCCUUCCCCAGAAGCUGGAAACUUGCCUUGCUGGCUCAGAAACUGACCGCGAGGCACUGUAGUUCCAUGUCUGCUACUUUCUCUUUGAGCUAUGAGGGACCAGACUAGAGCCCUGUCUCUAGUCUGUAUGCUCAGCAGAGCUAGGUAUUCAUUAAGGAGACAGAGGAAAUGGUCCGUCAGGGCAUCCACCUCCUUGUUAGCAGUGUGGCUGGAAGCCAAGACCAUGCCAGGACAUGCUGCCUCAGCAGGCACAGGGAGGAGGCGAGCACAGGCUGCAGGAGCACCCAUGCUAUGAUGGAGCUGCAAUAACCGCAUAGAAAGGUCUUCAGUGGAUUCUGCUGGGAUGACCCUACUCAGCAGUCAACACAUACGCUCUUCAGUGGGUGCUCUCUGAGUUCCACCCGGUUACCAUGCCCAUCACACCCCACCACUGAGCAGGGCUGGAGCUGGUCCUAGCACCAUAGCCCUCGGGUGAGCUACAAUUAACAUACUGCCUGCCUUCUUCCCACCACGAAGCUUCCUCAGGUGAGGCAGGGUUAAGAUUGUGGAAAGAACUGGCUUUGGAGUCAGAAAAACCUGGGUUCAGUUCCUGGCUCUACCCCUAUUACUCUGUGGCUUAGAUAAAUUACUAUUCUCUGCUUUUUGUGAUACUACUUUCCUUCCAUGCACUUCCAAAGCUCCCUGCAUUAUGCUUAGCACAUUUUACUGUCCUAGCCAGCUUGUGAUUAUCCUCAGCUAGACUGCAAGUUCCUUAAGAAGCAGGCACCAUCUCAGGCUUACUCACAAUCUUAUCCCCAGGGUCUACCUACUCCAGUGCCUGGUACUAGUAGCAAGUCAACAAGUUUAUGUAGACCAAUACUGAAGCACCACCUCCAGGGAUUGCUGUGGAGUGUGCAAAGAAUUUGGUCAUGGUUUGAGUCCUUAAAAAAAAAGAAAAAAAAAAAAGCAGUUUCUCUUACUCUGGCCACUCUUCUUCCCUGGUGACCAACUGAGUUCUGCUGGAAUUAUGGCCGUCCUUGAUUACAGCCCACCACAUGCAUCUUAACAACCUCUCUGUUUGGAGAAUAGGGCUGGCCUAUUUCCCACCCCACUUGUGGCAUCAGUGGAAGGCUUGCUUCCAAAGGGUGAACCACUCUGAGUCAAGACACUGCUGACUAACUAGUCAGUCCUACUCCCGUGUCCCACCCAACACCAGCUAGCAUCGAGGGCUACCUUGGUCAUCAGUGCCAGCCUGAGUCACAUCAGGGUCCUCUGUAUUACUCUGGACAGGAUCUCCCUUCAGGGCAGGCCUGGAGCUCAAUCCUUACCUAUGUCCCAUUUACCAUCAUCGCAGCGGUAUAAUAAAAUUAUAUAUAGUUUUUAUCCCCAGUUCUUGGCACAGAAUUCAAAAUCCCUUGGAAUUCCCCGAGUGAUAGGAGUAUUCCAUUAUGCUGAUAAGGUGACUCCUGCAAGGCCUUGAGAUACUUCAGGAUGGGCUGAUCAUCACAAAGGCAAAGCACAUGAUUAAAGGGCUGGAGCUUUCAGCUGGGCCUCCUGGCCUCUGGGGAGAUGAGGUUCAAUCAUGUGGCCGUCGAUGUCAUCCAUCAUGCUAGUGUAAUGAAGCAUAAAUGAAAACUGGGAACAAUGAAUUUCAGGGACACUCUUGGUUGAUGGACAUAUUGACGUACUGACUCCACAGGGAUGGAAGCAGCUCCCACACCCUCCCAUUGGCCAUCUUGCUGCCCUAUAUAUCUCUUUAUCUGGCUGUUCGUUUAGAUGCUUUAUAAUUAAAAGAUAAUCACAGGUAUAGUGCUUACCUGAGUUCUCUGAUGUGUUCUAAGAAAGUCUGAACCUGAGGGGUCAUGGGAACCCCUAAAUCUGUAGUCAUCCAGGCAGAAGUGUGGAUUGCUUGGGGAUACCUGGGAUCUGAAGUGGGGGCAACCUUGUGGGACCGAGCCCUUUACUUGUGGCAUCUAUGCUAACUGGAUAGUUAAAUGUCAGGAAUGAAUUUUUACCCAGUUGUCGUCGGAGAAUUGGUAUCGAAAUGUAAUUACAGAUUCCAACGUUGCCUACCCAUCCACCAAGGAUACAGAACACCACCCCUCACAACUGGCAGGUUCUGUCCCAUAAAACCUUCAUGAACAGACAGCCACAGCAGCAGGUGGUAGGCACACAGGAAACAGAUUUAUUAGUUACAGUUCCUGCCCUCUAGGAGCUUAUGACCUAGGCUAGACAUGACAACAGGUAAUUUCAAUAAACAUAAAGUCAAAGGGUUGGAGUAGUAGAGUGUGCAACUGAAGAUAAAGAUGGGGCUAAAGAGAUGCAUUCCUAAAGAGCACAGCUACCAAAAUGGGCUAAAGACCUUGGCAGACAUGUCACUAAGGAAGAUAUACAGAUGGCAAAUGCACACAUGAAAAGAUGCUCCACGUAUGUCAUUGGGGAAAUGCAAAUUAAACAACAAUGAGAUACUACUACACGACCACUAGAAUGCCCCAGAUCUGGAACACUGACAACACCAAAUGCUGGCAAAGACGUAGAACAACAGGCAGUCUCAUUUAUUGCUGGUGGGAAUGCAACAUGGCACAGCCACUUUGGAAGACAGUUUGAAGGUUUCUCACAAAACUAAACACACUCUUACCAUCUGAUCCAGCAACCUCUCAAAGGAGUUGAAAAUUUAUGUCCACACAAAAAACCUACACAUGGAUGUUUAUAUCACUUUACUCAAAAUUGCCAGAACGUGGAACCAACCAAGAUGUCCUUCAGUAGGUGAAUGCAUGAAUAAACUGUGGUACAUCCAAGCCACGGAAUGUUAUUCAGUCAAAAGGGAAUGAGCCCUUAAAUGCAUAUGACUAAGUGAAAGAAGCCUGUCUUUUGAGUCCACACAGUCUUUGAGCCCACAGCAUUCUGGAAAAGGCCAAGCUAUGGAGACAACAAAAAGAUCAGUGGGUGUCCAAGGUAUGUGUGUGGGCAGGGGAGAGAUGAACAGGCAGAGGAAGGCAUUUUUAGAACAGUGAAAAUACCCUCUAUGAUAUUAAAAAAAUGAAUAUAUGUCAUAGCUUUGUCCAGACCCAUAGAAUGUCCAACACCAAGAGUAAACUCUAAGGUAAAAUGGACUUCGGGUGGUUAUGAUGUGUCAAUCAGGUUCAUUUUUGGCAGAAAUACACCAUUUUGGUGAGUAACACUGAUAAUAGAAGAGGUCAUGCAUACGUGGAUAAAGGGCGGUACUUGGAAAAUCUCUGUACCUUUCUCUCAGUUUGGUUGUAAACCUGAAACUGCUUCAAAGAAAUAAAGUCUUUAAAAUAAAAAGCACACCUAAG
Canis lupus familiaris (dog) is the source of this 5131-nucleotide long non-coding RNA. RefSeq lists it as uncharacterized. The record is from RefSeq and is a predicted model, not a curated record. NCBI's taxonomy places the organism in Eukaryota, Metazoa, Chordata, Mammalia, Carnivora, Canidae. The transcript has 4 exons.